GGAUGUCAUGCAGGAGAACUACGAGAACGUGACCUCGCUGGGGUUUCCAGUUUCCAAACCUGAUGUGAUCUCGCAGCUAGAACGAGGGGAAGAGACGUGGGUCCCAGACUUCCAGGCCUCUGAGAAAGAAGUGCUCCCGAGGGCUGCCUGCACAGGGAGUGACCUAUGCCUGGAUUCGCUCUGUCUCCCAUCAGGUGAU
Long non-coding RNA from Mauremys reevesii (Reeves's turtle), 199 nucleotides. RefSeq lists it as uncharacterized. The record is from RefSeq and is a predicted model, not a curated record. The transcript has 3 exons. Lineage: Eukaryota; Metazoa; Chordata; Testudines; Geoemydidae.